UAGGGAAUCUUCCGCAAUGGGCGAAAGCCUGACGGAGCAACGCCGCGUGAGUGAUGAAGGUCUUCGGAUCGUAAAACUCUGUUAUUAGGGAAGAACAAAUGUGUAAGUAACUAUGCACGUCUUGACGGUACCUAAUCAGAAAGCCACGGCUAACUACGUGCCAGCAGCCGCGGUAAUACGUAGGUGGCAAGCGUUAUCCGGAAUUAUUGGGCGUAAAGCGCGCGUCGGCGGUUUUUUAAGUCUGAUGUGAAAGCCCACGGCUCAACCGUGGAGGGUCAUUGGAAACUGGAAUACUUGAGUGCAGAAGAGGAAAGUGGAAUUCCAUGUGUAGCGGUGAAAUGCGAAGAUAUAUGGAGGAACACCAGUGGCGAAGGCGACUUUCUGGUCUGUAACUGACGCUGAUGUGCGAAAGCGUGGGGAUCAAACAGG
This 429-nucleotide ribosomal RNA is filed under the name Actinomycetes bacterium. RNAcentral describes it as "Actinobacteria bacterium partial 16S ribosomal RNA". It matches the Rfam family "Bacterial small subunit ribosomal RNA", at positions 355 to 776 of the family's 1533-position model. The record is from RNAcentral. Lineage: Bacteria; Bacillati; Actinomycetota; Actinomycetes.